UUUCCGUAGGUGAACCUGCGGAAGGAUCAUUAUCAAAACAGCGGACUUCGGUCCUUGCUGCACCCUUGUCUUUUGCGCACCCAGUGUUUCCUCGGCGUGGCUUGCCCGCCGGCUGGAUAACCAUUAUAACCUUUAUGUAAUCUUCAAUCAGCGUCUGAAAACAAUAUAAUAAUUACAACUUUCAACAACGGAUCUCUUGGUUCUGGCAUCGAUGAAGAACGCAGC
This 225-nucleotide unclassified non-coding RNA is filed under the name uncultured fungus. RNAcentral describes it as "sequence contains ITS1, 5.8S rRNA gene". The stretch from base 177 to 225 matches the Rfam family "5.8S ribosomal RNA", at positions 1 to 49 of the family's 154-position model. The record is from RNAcentral. Lineage: Eukaryota; Fungi.